RNAcentral lists this ribosomal RNA (533 nucleotides) under uncultured Glomeromycotina. Its description in RNAcentral is "SSU rRNA". It matches the Rfam family "Eukaryotic small subunit ribosomal RNA", at positions 548 to 1081 of the family's 1831-position model. The record is from RNAcentral. Lineage: Eukaryota; Fungi; Glomeromycota.
UUGGAGGGCAAGUCUGGUGCCAGCAGCCGCGGUAAUUCCAGCUCCAAUAGCGUAUAUUAAAGUUGUUGCAGUUAAAAAGCUCGUAGUUGAAUUUCGGGAUCAAUUUGCUGGUCGUGCCUUCGGUACGCACUGGUAUUAUUGGUUUCUCCUUUCUGAUGAAUCGCGAUGUCAUUAAUUUGGUGUCGUGGGGAAUCAGGACUGUUACUUUGAAAAAAUUAGAGUGUUUAAAGCAGGCUCGCGCUUGAAUACAUUAGCAUGGAAUAAUGAAAUAGGACGUUUGAUUCUAUUUUGUUGGUUUCUAGGAUUGACGUAAUGAUUAAUAGGGAUAGUUGGGGGCAUUAGUAUUCAAUUGUCAGAGGUGAAAUUCUUGGAUUUAUUGAAGACUAACUACUGCGAAAGCAUUUGCCAAGGAUGUUUUCAUUAAUCAAGAACGAAAGUUAGGGGAUCGAAGACGAUCAGAUACCGUCGUAGUCUUAACCAUAAACUAUGCCGACUAGGGGAUCGGGAUGAUGUUAAUUUUUAAUGACUCAUUC